AUAUUAAUAAAUAUACUUGAGCAAAGUUAGAAAGAUAUUCACAGAUUCCAACUUCUGGGAUCAAUUACUCUAUAGCGAAAUGUUAUUAAAUCA
Molecule: long non-coding RNA, 93 nt
Organism: Sander lucioperca (pikeperch)
Lineage: Eukaryota; Metazoa; Chordata; Actinopteri; Perciformes; Percidae
Exons: 3
Source: RefSeq, a predicted model, not a curated record